This 974-nucleotide long non-coding RNA is filed under the name Cricetulus griseus (Chinese hamster). RNAcentral describes it as "lncRNA (ENSCGRG00015036964.1)". The record is from RNAcentral. Lineage: Eukaryota; Metazoa; Chordata; Mammalia; Rodentia; Cricetidae.
GGCUGCUCAACACGUUGAAGGUCUUGAGGGUACAAAGUCAGGUCCUCCUCCUAGUGAGGCUGGUCCCACCCUCAGCUAGAAUGCAAACACUCCAGGUGGCGAAAACUUGGGGGUGGGGGGUGUCCCUGGAAAGAGACAGAACCUGCUCUGCCUACAGACUGCAAAGCCAAGAGGCUCUAGGCAAGUCGGGGGCUCUAGGCAAACAAAGAAAGGAAGCCACUUAGGCCAAGACAGACCAGGUCAAAUACUUGACCCAGCUGAACCGCCCAGAAAAGUCAGGUUUGAUCAGAGACCUGGAGAAAUGGAGGGAAGCAGGAAAGUGCAACCAGGCAGAAGCAUCAGGACUGUGAACCGUCAAGAGUGGCAAACAAUAUCCAGAUAUAACUUCUACAGUUCCUGCCCUCUGCUUGAAGUAAAAGUCAGUUGGGACAGGAGACACUAAGGAAAAGUGCCUUCUAGACAAAACGGGACUGAGAAACAUAUAAACUCGGAGAUAGUACCCUCAUGUGCAGGACCUUCAAGGUGUAAGGCAGACAAGAUUCCAGUACUGAGAGAGAACCUUCAUCCAGCAGCUGUUCGAAGCAGAAACAGGCACCCACAGCUAAGCACUGAACCAUACUCCUGGAAUCCAGUUGCCGAGAGGGAGGAGGGAUGACCAAAAGAGCAAAGACGGUGCUGGAGAGGCCUGAAGAAACAGUUGACCUGACCUAGUGAGAGCAUGGAGACCCUAGUCAUAAAGCUGGGGAAACAGCAUUGGACCAAACCAAGCCCUCUAAAUGUGGGUGCCAGCUACGAGGCCAAGACAGUCUAUGGGACCUCUAACAGUGGAGCCAGUCUUUAACCCUAGAGCACAAUGGACUUGGAGCCCAUUCCCUAUGGAGGGAUACUAUUGCAGCCCAGAUACAGCAAGGAGGGCCUAGGCCCUCCCCCAAAUGAUAUGCCAGACUUUGAAGGUCCCCUGUGGAUGAUCUCAC